GGUCCCACUGGAAGACCUGGGAUUCCGGGAAUAAAGGGGCAACUUGGAGAGAAGGGAGCCCCAGGAGAAGCUGGCAUGUCUAUCAUUGGUCCCCGUGGUCCUCCGGGACAGCCUGGAACAAGAGGUUUUCCUGGGUUUCCAG
Molecule: long non-coding RNA, 142 nt
Organism: Euleptes europaea (tarantolino)
Lineage: Eukaryota; Metazoa; Chordata; Lepidosauria; Squamata; Sphaerodactylidae
Exons: 4
Source: RefSeq, a predicted model, not a curated record